Molecule: ribosomal RNA, 253 nt
Filed under: uncultured bacterium
Lineage: Bacteria
Description: partial 16S ribosomal RNA
Rfam family: Bacterial small subunit ribosomal RNA
Source: RNAcentral
CCCGUAGGGGACGAGCGUUGUCCGGAAUCAUUGGGCGUAAAGAGCUCGUAGGCGGUCUGUCGCGUCGAAUGUGAAAACCCGGGGCUCAACCCCGGGCCUGCAUUCGAUACGGGCAGACUAGAGUUCGGUAGGGGAGUCUGGAAUUCCUGGUGUAGCGGUGAAAUGCGCAGAUAUCAGGAGGAACACCGGUGGCGAAGGCGGGACUCUGGGCCGAUACUGACGCUGAGGAGCGAAAGCGUGGGGAGCGAACAGG